CACAUUCUCAAACAAUACCUUGUUAUUUGAAAUAAAUAAAUUAGACUCACAUUCAGUUUCUUUUAUUUUUUUGUACAACCGUUCGCUCAUGCUUUUCUGUUCUCUUCUGUUUAGUUUUUAUUUAUUUUUUUUUUUUAUUUUAUUUUAUUUUAUUUUUUUUUAUUUUAUUUUAUUUUAUUUUAUUUUAUUUUUUUUUUUUUUGUUUUUUUUUUUUUUUUUUUUUUUUUUUUUUGUUACUUGGAUAGACAUUUACCCAUUUAUCCCAAACGCAGUAUUAUAUACAUAUACAUUCAUUCGAUUGACUUAAAAAAAAAAUUAAUAAGGGGGUAUACGCAUAAUUAUAUGAAGGAAAUUAUCGAACUGAGUAAAAUUCGAUGUUAGCCAGAAUAAUGGAGUUUUUAAAGGAAUUUGUAUACCAUUUAUAAUAAUAAACAUAUAAGAACUAAAAAUUAAAUAAUCAUUUUCGAAAAAAUAAAAAACUUUUUCAUUCUUUAAAUAGUUGUUAUACAUUUUUUUAUUAAUUUUUUUAUUAAUUUUUUUAUUAAUUUGUGGAUUCAUAUGUUUAUUAUUAAUUUCGUUUACUGUUUUUAUUACCGAUAUAUUAUUUCCGUUAUGUUCGUUUUUUUUUAAUGUUUUUAAGUUCUUUUCAUUAGUUGGUAAAGGAUGGGAAGUAACUAAUUCAUCUGUUAGAUGAUAUUUUUUUAUUCCUUCCAUGUCGUUAGCUUUUAUCACUUCUAUAUGUUCAACUUUAAUCACAUUCUCUUUUUGCAAAGUGAAUAAUUUAUCUUUUACAUCAUUUACAUUUUUUACAUCAUUUACAUCAUUUACAUCUUUUACAUCUUUUACAUCUUUUACAUCUUUUACAUCUUUUACAUCAUUUACAUUUUUUACAUCAUUUACAUUUUUUACAUCUUUUACAUCAUUUACAUUUUUUACAUCAUUUACAUCUUUUACAUCAUUUACAUUUUUUACAUUUUUUACAACUUUUACAAACUCAGGAAACUGUUCAUGUAAAAAAUCACCUAAAGUGUUUAUAUGAACACUUGUUAUAGCAUUAGAUUUAUUGUUUUCAUAUUUUAUUUUAAAUAAAGGAUAUUUUGUUUGUAUUUUAUUAUAUGGU
RNAcentral lists this long non-coding RNA (1120 nucleotides) under Piliocolobus tephrosceles (Ugandan red Colobus). RNAcentral's name for it is "lncRNA (ENSPTEG00000000285.1)". Lineage: Eukaryota; Metazoa; Chordata; Mammalia; Primates; Cercopithecidae. The record is from RNAcentral.